AUGCCAGCGAGGUUAAGAUGUCAGAAGCAUCGGAGCCGAAGGGAAACCAAGUCUGAAUAGGGCGUAGAGUUGGUAUUAGUAGACCCGAAACCGGGUGACCUAUCCAUGUCCAGGUUGAAGGAACCGUAAAAGGUUUUGGAGGACCGAACACACAUGUGUUGAAAAACGUGGUGAUGAGGUGUGGAUAGCGGAGAAAUUCCAAUCGAACUCGGAGAUAGCUGGUUCUCCUCGAAAUAGCUUUAGGGCUAGCCUCGAGCUGGAGUCUAACGGAGGUAAAGCACUGAACUGACGCGGGGCCCAAAAAGGUUACCAACUCAUAUCAAACUAAGAAUGCCGUCAAGAUACCCUCGGGAGUCAGUCUGCGUGAGAUAAGUCGCGUGGACAAAAGGGAAAGAGCCCAGACCGACAGCUAAGGUCCCAAAGUACGUGUUAAGUGGAAAAGGAUGUGGGAUUUCAUAGACAACUAGGAUGUUGGCUUAGAAGCAGCCAUACAUUUAAAGAGUGCGUAAUAGCUCACUAGUCGAGAAAACCUGCGCCGAAAAUGUAACGGGGCUAAAACACGACACCGAAGCUACGGAUUUCCUACAAGGUAGGAAGUGGUAGAGGAGCAUCCUGCAAGGACGAAGCCAAAGUGAGAGCGAUGGUGGACGAAACAGGAGAGAGAAUGCCGGAAUGAGUAGCGAGAUACAUGUGAGAAACAUGUAGGCCGAAUAUCUAAGGAUUCCUGGGUAAAGCUAAUCUUCCCAGGGUUAGUCGGGGCCUAAGGCGAGGACGAAAGUCGUAGUCGAUGGAUAACAGGUUGAUAUUCCUGUACUACACAUAAUCAGAACUGUGGGGACGCAGGAGGAUAGGGAAACCGGGGAAUGGAAAGACCCGGUCAAGCGUAAAGCUGUGGGAGAUAGGCAAAUCCGUCUCCUGUAAGUGAAGACGUGAUGAGGACUGAAAAAAAGUAAGGAAGUUUCCGAAUCCACACUGCCGAGAAAAGCCGCUAUUGCGUUAUGUGUACCCGUACCGUAAACCGACACAGGUAGAUGAGGAGAAAAUCCACAGGCCGACGGGAGAAGUGUUGUUAAGGAACUCGGCAAAAUGACCCCGUAACUUCGGGAUAAGGGGAGCCUCGCAAGAGGCCGCAGAAAAGAGGCACAAGCAACUGUUUAGCAAAAACAUAGGUCUAUGCGAAACCGUAAGGUGAAGUAUAUGGGCUGACGCCUGCCCGGUGCUGGAAGGUUAAAAGGAGAGGUCAGCGCAAGCGAAGCUUUGAAUUCAAGCCCCAGUAAACGGCGGCCGUAACUAUAACGGUCCUAAGGUAGCGAAAUUCCUUGUCAGGUAAGUUCUGACCCGCACGAAAGGCGUAAUGAUUUGUGCACUGUCUCGACAACACGCCCGGUGAAAUUGAAGAACCAGUGAAGAUACUGGUUACCCGCAACAGGACGGAAAGACCCCAUGGAGCUUUACUGCAGCCUGAUACUGGGAUUCGAUGAUAUAUGUACAGGAUAGGUGGGAGGCUAAGAAGCGAGAACGCUAGUUUUCGUGGAGCCGCCGGUGGGAUACCACUCUUAUGUCAUUGAAUUUCUAACCUGCAUCCGUAAUCCGGGUGAGGGACAAUGUCAGGCGGGCAGUUUGACUGGGGCGGUCGCCUCCUAAAAGGUAACGGAGGCGCUCGAAGGUCACCUCAGAAUGAUUGGAAACCAUUCAAAGAGUGUAAAGGCAAAAGGUGGCUUGACUGCGAGAGCGACGGCUCGAGCAGGUACGAAAGUAGGACUUAGUGAUCCGG
RNAcentral lists this ribosomal RNA (1774 nucleotides) under human gut metagenome. Its description in RNAcentral is "bacterial LSU rRNA". It matches the Rfam family "Bacterial large subunit ribosomal RNA", at positions 634 to 2423 of the family's 2925-position model. The record is from RNAcentral.